Molecule: long non-coding RNA, 653 nt
Filed under: Ricinus communis (castor bean)
Lineage: Eukaryota; Viridiplantae; Streptophyta; Magnoliopsida; Malpighiales; Euphorbiaceae
Description: long non-coding RNA (RCOM_LNC003656)
Source: RNAcentral
AAAAGUAACCCGCGUGAGGCUAAAGAUGAAGCAAAACAUCGUGAUAAGCAGGAGGUGCAUAUGCAAAGAAAAAAAACGUAACGCCUGACGAAGAGUGCCACGUGGAUGUAGUUGAUAACUCACCGACCCGCGCGUCACAGAGAAAUAACUCGGAAAUUUUUCAUUUCGUUCGGAGAAUGGCGACAGUCUACUCUCUUCGUCCUUAUGUCUUGUCUCUCCUAUUAAAACCCUAGAAUUAGAUUGAUUCAAAUUCAAUUAUCUCAAAUAGCAUGUCUUAUUGAGUCUGUCUCAUCAUUCUAUUUUCUUCCUUUUCUUAUCUAUUACCUGAUCGGUUGGAUUUUUCUUGGUCUUCAAUCGAAGGUUUGAUUUUUAACUUCCAACUUUCAGUUUUUUCUGUCGAUCAAAUUACACUUCAUCGAUGAUUGACCUUUUGAUCGGAGAUAUUAAAUAAAGAUUGUACCUUUGGUUGUUUUUACUGGAAUUGGUUUUGUGUUUGUGCCUUGUGGCUUUGUUUGAUUAAAGAUUUGAAAUCAUCGUUGAUCGGAGUGGUAAAUUCGAGUUUGUAUGGAAUUGAUUGAAUUGAUGACGAAUUUAAGUGAAAAGUUUGAACUUUUGAAGUUGAAAGCCUUAAAGAUUGCAACUUUGAGUGUUUU